GCUUCAGUGGCAUCUAUUAAUGUUGCUGCGGUUAAAAGGCUCGUCGUUGGGUAUCACAAACAAGAGCAAAACGGCGUUCUGGAGGUGGACUGCAUUAAUGCGCGCGCUUGCGUGUGUGUUGUGCAUAACGUUCGCUUCUGUUCGUGUGUGAGCUCGAGUCGCAAAUUGCUUAACAUUGCGGGCGUAAGCAGGUUGGUUUGUUUCUCUCCUCUUGGGUAUGCAGCUUCGGUUGUUAUAUUCUGUUGCGGGUGCUUGCUAGCUCUUGCGUGCGCGGUUCAGUAAAGACACCGUGAACAAAUCAGAGUGCUCCAAGCAGUCUGGGGUUAACGUAAGCUUCGGUGCUGUGUAAUUACGCGCUCUUCGGGGUGUGUUUUGCUACGCCAUUCUUUGUUUCCUCCCUCUAAAUCUAUACGCCUUUGACCAGCCUCGCGGCUUCUUUUGGGUGUAUGGAGACUGUCUUGAAUUUGCACGGCAAAGUCUGACGAGGUCGUUGCUGUUGUGCAUUUGGUUUUUCCUUGGUCGUAAGGCCCGGGGCUAGCUCCUUGCGUAACACGAACGAAAUGAUCAAGAGAACUUGACUCGAUGGCAUUGGUAUUGCUCGGCGAGAGGUGAAAUUCUAUGACCCUUGCAAGACCACCUGAAGCGAAAGCGUCUGCCAAGGAUGUUUUCA
Molecule: ribosomal RNA, 670 nt
Filed under: Rostroculodes borealis
Lineage: Eukaryota; Metazoa; Arthropoda; Malacostraca; Amphipoda; Oedicerotidae
Description: partial small subunit ribosomal RNA
Rfam family: Eukaryotic small subunit ribosomal RNA
Source: RNAcentral